RNAcentral lists this ribosomal RNA (549 nucleotides) under Salmonella enterica. RNAcentral's name for it is "partial 23S ribosomal RNA". It matches the Rfam family "Bacterial large subunit ribosomal RNA", at positions 1 to 580 of the family's 2925-position model. The record is from RNAcentral. RNAcentral also lists the same sequence under 9 other names. Lineage: Bacteria; Pseudomonadati; Pseudomonadota; Gammaproteobacteria; Enterobacterales; Enterobacteriaceae.
GGGUUGUGAGGUUAAGCGACCAAGCGUACACGGUGGAUGCCCUGGCAGUCAGAGGCGAUGAAGGACGUGCUAAUCUGCGAAAAGCGCCGGUAAGGUGAUAUGAACCGUUAUAACCGGCGAUGUCCGAAUGGGGAAACCCAGUGUGACUCGUCACACUAUCAUUAACUGAAUCCAUAGGUUAAUGAGGCGAACCGGGGGAACUGAAACAUCUAAGUACCCCGAGGAAAAGAAAUCAACCGAGAUUCCCCCAGUAGCGGCGAGCGAACGGGGAGGAGCCCAGAGCCUGAAUCAGCAUGUGUGUUAGUGGAAGCGUCUGGAAAGGCGCGCGAUACAGGGUGACAGCCCCGUACACAAAAGCGCAUGUGCUGUGAGCUCGAUGAGUAGGGCGGGACACGUGGUAUCCUGUCUGAAUAUGGGGGGACCAUCCUCCAAGGCUAAAUACUCCUGACUGACCGAUAGUGAACCAGUACCGUGAGGGAAAGGCGAAAAGAACCCCGGCGAGGGGAGUGAAACAGAACCUGAAACCGUGUACGUACAAGCAGUGGGAGC